Molecule: transfer RNA, 76 nt
Filed under: Deltaproteobacteria bacterium
Lineage: Bacteria; Pseudomonadati; Myxococcota; Myxococcia
Description: tRNA-Val
Rfam family: tRNA
About the family: Transfer RNA (tRNA) molecules are approximately 80 nucleotides in length.
Source: RNAcentral
GGGCGGAUAGCUCAGCUGGGACAGCGUCGGCCUUACAAGCCGAAUGUCGCAGGUUCGAUCCCUGUUCCGCCCACCA